AAACACACGCAAUAAAAAUGGUAAAAAACACAAUCAGAGGUCCAAACAAUAAAUAACUACUCUAACAUAAUAAACAACUAUCCCAACAAAAUUAAUGAACUAACACUCGCUAGUAUAAAUAAUAAACAAGUUGUUAAUAAUACUAAUCAUAAAAAUAGUAUAUAUUAUAAUGAAAUAAAAAAUAAACUUUAUAAAGAGGGAAAAACAGAAGAAUAUAAAAAAAAGAACUAUGAUAUGCAUGUUAUGAGUAAUCCCUUUGGUAAUAUUAAUACAACAAAUGUUCCUAUUAAUGAAAAUAUACAUUUAAUAAAUAAUCACACCCAUAUAAAUAAUAAUAAUGAAGAUAGUGAUAAUGUAAUACCAUUUUAUAAAAAUAACAAUAUAGCUUUUAGAGAUGAUAACAUAGACACCUCAAUAGAUUUUAAAAAACAAAAAAACAAUAAUAUUAACAAAGAAAAUACUCCUAACAAUAAUAAAUACAUAUCGAAUAUAAGCAGUAAUAGUAGUAUAAAUUAUGAUGUAAGUUAUGAAAACAGUUACCAUAAAGAAAAAGGAUAUAAUUAUUAUAACAAUAGUAAUGAUAAAUCGGAAUAUGUAUCAAACCACAAAUAUAACGCAAUUAAAAAUGACGAAAAUGGUAAUAUAAAAAAUACAAAUGAUAAUGUAAAUGAUAUAAAUGAUAAUAUAAAUAAUAUAAAUGAUAAUAUGCCAAAUUUCCAGUUUAACAAUGAUUAUUUACAAUAUGAACAAAAAAACAUGACAUUUAUAAAUAAAAAUGUUACUACCAUACCAUAUUAUAACUAUGAAAAUAUAAAUUAUCCUAUAAAAAAUGAAGAAGGACAUGGUGAGAUAAUAACUAACAAACAAUAUCCAAACGGAUAUAUGUUUAAUGAAAAUAUACAAUACAAUGGAUUGAACACCAGUAUUAGCUCUAAUUCGAGUUAUCAACAUGACAUUACGUUAAUAAAUCCAAAUGGAUUUAUAGCGAAUAAUGAUAUUAGUCAUUAUAAUUAUAGUAAUAAUAACAACAUCGGAAAAAGCAACAGUAACAACAUUGGAAGUAGUAACAGUAACAACACUGGAAGUAGUAACAGUAACAAUACUGGAAGUAGUAACAUUAACAACAUUGGAAGUAGUAACAUUAACAAUACUGGAAGUAGUAACAUUAACAACACUGGAAGUAGUAACAUUAACAACAUUGGAAGUAGUAACAUUAACAACAUUGGAAGUAGUAACAUUAACAACAUUGGAAGUAGUAACAUUAACAACAUUGGAAGUAGUAACAGUAAUAGUAACAAAAUCGACAGUACUAAG
RNAcentral lists this long non-coding RNA (1314 nucleotides) under Piliocolobus tephrosceles (Ugandan red Colobus). RNAcentral describes it as "lncRNA (ENSPTEG00000005882.1)". The record is from RNAcentral. Lineage: Eukaryota; Metazoa; Chordata; Mammalia; Primates; Cercopithecidae.